CCCUGGUUAGCUCAGUUGGUAGAGCGCUCCACUUGUGAUGAGAGGUCCCGGGUUCGAUACCCGGACCAGGCG
RNAcentral lists this transfer RNA (72 nucleotides) under Ixodes scapularis (black-legged tick). It matches the Rfam family "tRNA". From Rfam's summary of the family: Transfer RNA (tRNA) molecules are approximately 80 nucleotides in length. Their secondary structure includes four short double-helical elements and three loops (D, anti-codon, and T loops). Further hydrogen bonds mediate the characteristic L-shaped molecular structure. tRNAs have two regions of fundamental functional importance: the anti-codon, which is responsible for specific mRNA codon recognition, and the 3' end, to which the tRNAs corresponding amino acid is attached (by aminoacyl-tRNA synthetases). tRNAs cope with the degeneracy of the genetic code in two manners: having more than one tRNA (with a specific anti-codon) for a particular amino acid; and 'wobble' base-pairing, i.e. permitting non-standard base-pairing at the 3rd anti-codon position. The record is from Rfam by way of RNAcentral. Lineage: Eukaryota; Metazoa; Arthropoda; Arachnida; Ixodida; Ixodidae.